GUGCUCGCUUCGGCAGCACAUAUACUAAAAUUGGAACGAUACAGAGAAGAUUAGCAUGGCCCAUGCGAAAGGAUGACAUGCAAAUUCGUGAAGUGGUCCAUAUUUUU
RNAcentral lists this small nuclear RNA (107 nucleotides) under Nannospalax galili (Upper Galilee mountains blind mole rat). Lineage: Eukaryota; Metazoa; Chordata; Mammalia; Rodentia; Spalacidae. The record is from RNAcentral.